CAGCAGGCGCCAAAACCACUGAGCUAAAUUCCCGGCCUAUUCCGCUUCUGUUUACAAGGCACACGUUUGGUGGCUCCCUCUCUCAGGUGUCCUAGAACCCAGGCAUCGCUUGAGCACGCCCCUUCUCUACCCCUUCCUCCUGGUCUCCCAUCCCGGAAGCUGAGUGUCCUGUCCUGUUCUGGGUGCCGGCGAUGGAACCCGGGCCUCUUGCAUGCUGGCCACACGCUGGACCCUGAGCUGAGCUGCACCCCAGCCCUGGGCGGGUGUCUUGAGAACGCAGCACCCGGAGUCGGAAGCUCUGCUGUGUUGUAUUAACUCCUUAUCCUUGUACUGGAAACUGGCGAGCAGCGAAGUUUGGCGGUAGCGAGCGGUCGAGCCGGGGGCCCGGGCGCGGAGCAUGCAGGCCGGGCGGGCGCGGGGAGCGCGGGGGUGAGCGGGAGAGCGAGCG
This 448-nucleotide long non-coding RNA is filed under the name Heterocephalus glaber (naked mole-rat). RNAcentral describes it as "lncRNA (ENSHGLG00100033703.1)". Lineage: Eukaryota; Metazoa; Chordata; Mammalia; Rodentia; Bathyergidae. The record is from RNAcentral.